RNAcentral lists this ribosomal RNA (135 nucleotides) under Tuber sp. R3. RNAcentral's name for it is "partial 28S ribosomal RNA". It matches the Rfam family "Eukaryotic large subunit ribosomal RNA", at positions 1 to 132 of the family's 3401-position model. The record is from RNAcentral. Lineage: Eukaryota; Fungi; Ascomycota; Pezizomycetes; Pezizales; Tuberaceae.
GGUUGACCUCGGAUCAGGUAGGGAUACCCGCUGAACUUAAGCAUAUCAAUAUCGGUGGAAGAGAAACCAAACAGGGAUUGCCUUAGUAACGACGGGUGAAGGGGCAAAAGCUGAAAUUUGAAAUCUUGCUGACUG